UUCCUACGGGUGGCUGCAGUAGGGAAUAUUGGGUAAUGUGCGAAAGCGCGACCCAGCAACGCCGCGUGUGCGAUGAAGGCCUUCGGGUCGUAAAGCACUUUUUAGAGGGAUGAGGAAGGACAGUACCUCUAGAAUAAGCCUCGGCUAACUACGUGCCAGCAGCCGCGGUAAAACGUAGGAGGCGAGCGUUAUCCGGAUUUACUGGGCGUAAAGCGCGUGUAGGCGGUUUGGUAAGUUGGAUGUGAAAGCUCCUGGCUUAACUGGGAGAGGUCGUUCAAAACUACCAGACUUGAGAGUGAUAGAGGAAAAUGGAAUUCCGGGUGUAGUGGUGAAAUGCGUAGAUAUCCGGAGGAACACCAGUGGCGAAAGCGAUUUUCUGGCUCAUUUCUGACGCUCAAACGCGAAAGCUAGGGUAGCAAACGGGAUUAGAUACCCGAGUAGUCCU
Molecule: ribosomal RNA, 445 nt
Filed under: uncultured Anaerolineaceae bacterium
Lineage: Bacteria; Bacillati; Chloroflexota; Anaerolineae; Anaerolineales; Anaerolineaceae
Description: bacterial SSU rRNA
Rfam family: Bacterial small subunit ribosomal RNA
Source: RNAcentral